Molecule: small RNA, 78 nt
Filed under: Rhizobiales bacterium GAS191
Lineage: Bacteria; Pseudomonadati; Pseudomonadota; Alphaproteobacteria; Hyphomicrobiales
Also listed under: 2 other names
Description: suhB
Rfam family: Makes More Granules Regulator RNA (mmgR)
About the family: SuhB later renamed mmgR (makes more granules regulator) was a putative non-coding RNA found multiple times in the Agrobacterium tumefaciens genome and related alpha-proteobacteria. Other non-coding RNAs uncovered in the same analysis include: speF, ybhL, metA, and serC.
Source: RNAcentral
GGUUGCUGCCCUCCUUGGGCGUUUCCUCCCUAGACUUGGGCCGCCAAGCUCGCUUGGCGGCCUCUUUUUUUGCCCAAA